This 1462-nucleotide ribosomal RNA is filed under the name uncultured organism. RNAcentral's name for it is "bacterial SSU rRNA". It matches the Rfam family "Bacterial small subunit ribosomal RNA". The record is from RNAcentral.
CUGGCUCAGAACGAACGCUGGCGGCGCGUUUAAAGCAUGCAAGUCGGACGGGAUUAUAAUUGCUUGCAAUUAUAAUUUAGUGGCGAACGGGUGAGUAACGCGUAGAUGAUCUACCAACAGAUGGGGGAUAGUCCCUUGAAAGAGGGUUAAUACCGCAUAAUAUGUAUUAAUUUAAUGUUAAUACAUGAAAGCAGCGAUGCGUCUGUUGAUGAGUCUGCGUUCCAUUAGCUAGUUGGUGAGGUAAGAGCUCACCAAGGCGAUGAUGGAUAGCCGGUUUGAGAGGAUGACCGGUCACAUUGGGACUGAGAUACGGCCCAGACUCCUACGGGAGGCAGCAGCUAAGAACCUUCCGCAAUGGGCGAGAGCCUGACGGAGCGACGCCGCGUGGACGAAGAAGGCGUUUUGCGUUGUAAAUGUCCUUUUUAUAUGGAAAAAUGCUAUAUAUCAGAUAUAGUUGAUGGUACAUAUGAACGAGCCCCGGCUAAUUACGUGCCAGCAGCCGCGGUACGACGUAAGGGGCGAGCGUUGUUCGGAAUUAUUGGGCAUAAAGGGCGAGUAGGCGGUCUAGUAAGUUAUAGGUGGAAAAUAUGGGCUCAACCUGUAUCUUGCCUAUAAAACUGUUGGACUAGAGUAUGAGAUAGGAUGUCGGAAUUCCUGGUGUAGGGGUGGAAUCUAUAGAUAUCAGGAGGAACACCGAUGGCGAAGGCAGGCAUCUGGCUCUGUACUGACGCUGAGGAGCGAAAGCGUGGAUAGCGAACAGGAUUAGAUACCCUGGUAGUCCACGCAGUAAACGUUGUAUACUAGGUGUAUGGGGUAUCGAUCCCCUGUGUGCCGUAGCAAAUGCAUUAAGUAUACCGCCUGGGGAGUAUGCCGGCAACGGUGAAGCUCAAAGGAAUUGACGGGGGCCCGCACAAGCGGUGGAGCAUGUGGUUUAAUUCGAUGAUACGCGAAGAAUCUUACCUGGGUUUGACAUGUAGACUACGGGAUAAGAGAUUAUCCUUCCCGCAAGGGUGUUUACACAGGUGCUGCAUGGCUGUCGUCAGCUCGUGUCGUGAGAUGUUGGGUUAAGUCCUGCAACGAGCGCAACCCUCAUAUCUAGUUGCCAACAGGUAAUGCUGGGAACUCUAGAUAAACUGCUGGGCGUGAGCCGGAGGAAGGUGGGGAUGACGUCAAGUCCUCAUGGCCUUUAUAUCCAGGGCUACACACGUGCUACAAUGGUAGGUACAAAGAGAAGCGAAUACGGGAGUUGGAGCCAAUCUCAGAAAGCCUAUCUAAGUUCGGAUUGGAGUCUGAAACUCGACUUCAUGAAGUUGGAAUCGCUAGUAAUCGCAGAUCAGCACGCUGCGGUGAAUACGUUCCCGGGCCUUGUACACACCGCCCGUCACACCACCCGAGUUGGAUGUACCCGAAGUUGCAGAGCUAACCUAUUUGGAGGCAUGCACCUAAGGUAUGUCUAGUAAGG